GGUGCGCAGGCGGAUUGGUAAGUCAGGGGUGAAAUCCCACAGCUCAACUGUGGAACUGCCUUUGAUACUGUCAGUCUAGAGUAUAGUUGAAGUUGGCGGAAUGUGUCAUGUAGCGGUGAAAUGCUUAGAUAUGACACAGAACACCGAUCGCGAAGGCAGCUAGCUAAGCUAUAACUGACGCUCAUGCACGAAAGCGUGGGGAUCAAACAGGAUUAGAUACCCUGGUAGUCCACGCUGUAAACGAUGAUUACUCGAUGUUGGCGAUACACAGUCAGCGUCUGAGCGAAAGCAAUAAGUAAUCCACCUGGGGAGUACGAUCGCAAGAUUGAAACUCAAAGGAAUUGACGGGGGCCCGCACAAGCGGAGGAGCAUGUGGUUUAAUUCGAUGAUACGCGAGGAACCUUACCUGGGCUCGAACGUAAGAUGACUGUAGGUGAAAGCUUACAUCUCUUCGGAGCAUUUUACGAGGUGCUGCAUGGUUGUCGUCAGCUCGUGCCGUGAGGUGUCGGGUUAAGUCCCAUAACGAGCGCAACCCCUACCUUUAGUUGCCAUCAGGUCAUGCUGGGGACUCUAAAGGAACUGCCUACGCAAGUAGUGAGGAAGGCGGGGAUGACGUCAAAUCAGCACGGCCCUUACGUCCAGGGCUACACACGUGCUACAAUGGCCGAUACAGAGGGCAGCUACCUGGUGACAGGAUGCAAAUCUCCAAAGUCGGUCUCAGUUCGGAUCGGAGUCUGCAACCCGACUCCGUGAAGUUGGAUUCGCUAGUAAUCGCGCAUCAGCCAUGGCGCGGUGAAUACGUUCCCGGGCCUUGUACACACCGCCCGUCAAGCCAUGGAAGCUGGGGGGACCUAAAGUCGAUAACCGCAAGGAGUCGCCUAGGGUAAAACCAGUGACUGGGGCUAAGUCGUAACAAGGUAGCCG
This 924-nucleotide ribosomal RNA is filed under the name uncultured Lentimicrobium sp. RNAcentral describes it as "bacterial SSU rRNA". It matches the Rfam family "Bacterial small subunit ribosomal RNA", at positions 566 to 1502 of the family's 1533-position model. The record is from RNAcentral. Lineage: Bacteria; Pseudomonadati; Bacteroidota; Bacteroidia; Bacteroidales; Lentimicrobiaceae.